AAUGAAGUUCCAGGGGUAAAGAAGAGGCGAGCAUUUCUGGAUUUACUGCUUUAUCAUCAUUUAACGGAUAAAAGUCUCAACGAAGAAGAUAUCAGAGAAGAAGUUGAUACAUUCAUGUUCGCAGGAUACGACACAAGUUCAAUGGGUAUUAGUUGGUCCCUUUAUCUACUCGGAUUGCAUCCCGAUAUACAA
Centruroides sculpturatus (bark scorpion) is the source of this 192-nucleotide long non-coding RNA. RefSeq lists it as uncharacterized. NCBI's taxonomy places the organism in Eukaryota, Metazoa, Arthropoda, Arachnida, Scorpiones, Buthidae. The transcript is spliced from 2 exons. The record is from RefSeq and is a predicted model, not a curated record.